GUCUUUUUGAUUAUAAUUUAAAGUCUAACCUGCCCACUGAAAUUUUUGAAGGGCCGCGGUAUUUUGACUGUGCAAAGGUAGCAUAAUCAUUAGUCUUUUAAUUGGAGGCUUGUAUGAAUGGUUGGAUGAGGUAUUAACUGUCUCAAUUUGAUAAAUAAUAGAAUUUUAUUUUUAAGUUAAAAAGCUUAAAUAAUAUUAAAAGACGAGAAGACCCUAUAGAUCUUUAUAAUUAAUUUUAUAAUAAUUUUUUAGAUAAAAUUUAUUUUUAUAAGGUUAAUUAUUAUAUUGGGGUGAUAAAAAAAUUUAUAAAACUUUUUUUUUAAAUAAACAAUGAUAUUUGAGUAAUUGAUCCAUUUUUUGUGAUUAUAAGAUUAAGUUACCUUAGGGAUAACAGCGUAAUUUUUUUGGAGAGUUCUUAUCGAUAAAAAAGAUUGCGACCUCGAUGUUGAAUUAAAGGUAAAUUUUAGGUGUAGAAGUUUAAAAUUUUGGUCUGUUCGACCAUUAAAUC
RNAcentral lists this ribosomal RNA (508 nucleotides) under Parachauliodes nebulosus. RNAcentral's name for it is "partial large subunit ribosomal RNA". The stretch from base 387 to 508 matches the Rfam family "Bacterial large subunit ribosomal RNA", at positions 2473 to 2594 of the family's 2925-position model. The record is from RNAcentral. Lineage: Eukaryota; Metazoa; Arthropoda; Insecta; Megaloptera; Corydalidae.